Molecule: ribosomal RNA, 405 nt
Filed under: Tholymis tillarga
Lineage: Eukaryota; Metazoa; Arthropoda; Insecta; Odonata; Libellulidae
Description: partial 12S ribosomal RNA
Source: RNAcentral
UGGGUAAUACUAGUUAUGUUCUUGAAACCCAAAGAAUUUGGCGGUAUUUUAUUCUUUUAGAGGAACCUGUCCUGUAAUUGAUAAUACACGAUGAAGAAAUACUUGUUCUUGUAUUCAUUUUGUAUACCUCCGUCAUAAGAUUAUCUUUUUAGAGUUAAUAUUCUUAAUAUAUUAAUUAUAUAAUGUCAGGUCAAGGUGCAAUUUAUGGACAAGAAGAGAUGGGUUACAAUAGAAUUAUCUAAACGGAUUUUUAAUAUUAAUAUUAAGAUGAAGGUGGAUUUAAAAGUAAAAUUAUUAACUAUUUAAUUUGACUUUAGCUCUAGAAUAUGCACACAUCGCCCGUCACUCUUAUUUUAAAAUAAGAUAAGUCGUAACAUAGUAGAGGUACCGGAAGGUGUCUCUAGU